Molecule: small RNA, 556 nt
Filed under: Pan troglodytes (chimpanzee)
Lineage: Eukaryota; Metazoa; Chordata; Mammalia; Primates; Hominidae
Description: retained intron
Source: RNAcentral
AUGGAUACCAUCUCUGUGUUUACGAGAGUCAACGUAAGCAGAACUCGGUUUUAAUUGGUAUGUUUUCUUUUUCCAGGAGCUGGAGGAGGGAAUGAUAUUCAGUGGUGUUUUUCUCAGGUGAAAGGAGCAGUAGAUGAUGAUGUAGCAGAAGCAGAUAUAAUUUCUACAGUAGAAUUUAAUCAUUCUGGAGAAUUACUAGCAACAGGAGAUAAAGGUGGUAGAGUUGUCAUCUUUCAACAGGAGCAGGAGCGCCUUUGACCUGAGGAUCUCAAAGUGCUUUACAAACACUAAUGAAUUAAUCCUCACAACACCCCAGUGAGAACAAAAUCCAGUCUCAUAGCAGAGGAGAAUAUAAUGUUUACAGCACCUUCCAGAGCCAUGAACCAGAGUUUGACUACUUGAAAAGUUUAGAAAUAGAAGAAAAGAUCAACAAAAUUAGGUGGUUACCCCAGAAAAAUGCUGCUCAGUUUUUAUUGUCUACCAAUGAUAAAACAAUAAAAUUAUGGAAAAUCAGUGAAAGGGACAAAAGACCAGAAGGGUAUAACUUGAAAGAGGA